AGCAGCGGUCCUUGCCCCAGUCAACAACCGCAGCGAAGCGGGUCUGGGCUGCAGGAGUCAGAGGUUACAACAAACGUUUAAAGGUUUGCAUUACCAUAAGCCUCACAAUGAUGGAGGCUACCACAGACCCAGCUAUAACCACACCACUGCAAAAGAAAGUGCCGAGAGAUAUCAGUGAUGAUGACAUCUUUAAGCCUAGAAACCAGCCAACUGCGGAAGCCAUCAUCACAGACUCUGGGUCCGAAAAGAUGGACCGGUGCAAGACGGAGGACGUGCGGGAGGAGACGGAAGAGGGGGCGGAUAGCUCUGACGCCUCCAGCCCGGAACCGCUCUCCCCGUUGCGGCCGUUCUACAAGGUCCGCUUCACCGACCAGGUCACGAAAAAUGGCGAUAUCAUCAACUACCAGAUCGAGGUG
Molecule: long non-coding RNA, 416 nt
Organism: Pollicipes pollicipes
Lineage: Eukaryota; Metazoa; Arthropoda; Thecostraca; Pollicipedomorpha; Pollicipedidae
Exons: 3
Source: RefSeq, a predicted model, not a curated record